This is a non-coding RNA of Rattus norvegicus (Norway rat), 22377 nucleotides long. The record is from RefSeq and is a predicted model, not a curated record. NCBI's taxonomy places the organism in Eukaryota, Metazoa, Chordata, Mammalia, Rodentia, Muridae.
GCUGGUUUCUUUCCUGGCUCCGCCCCUGGGCAGGUGACAGCGCCCUAGGGCUGGACUAGUCUCCGCCUCCCCGCCCUCCCCAUCUGGCACUUCGCGGCCACCGCAGCUACCGGGACGCUCCUGGAGCUCUGGGUCCUAGGCACCUGGAGGUGUGAGCGCUGCUCUGCGCCACACCAGUUGCCACAAAGGAGGACCGGAGUGCUCUGCGUGGGCGUGAGACCCGACCUCGGUCAGGUGGUGGAGCAGCUUCUGAGACCUGGGGUUUUUCAGGAACUAACUUGCCCAGUUCUUGGGAACAGAGAUUCUGGCCUAGUCUCCUGAACUGCCAAUUUGAAGCCUGUCCUGGAGUCAGCCUGUCUCAGACUAAAAUGGAGAAGGACACUUUCUGGAAGUUGCACAUCACAUCUGCAGGCACCCAAAAGCCGGGCUCCAUUUUCAUCUGGUUAAAGAAAGAAUAUGUUUGCAUAUUUUCACAUAUAUUUGGAUUCCUGCAAAAGACCAGAAGAGUAGAAUGGAUCUUCUGAAGCUGAACCUUCUAAAGGUGGCUGGCUAUAAACACACAUGUGGAACUGGAACUGGAUUUCAGUCCUCUGCAAGAGCAACAGACUCUUUUAAUACCAAGCCUUAAAAUGAUGUUGCUGAUGGGAACACUAGAGUCCCAACUGAUAAUAGGAAGUUAUUUCAUUUAACUAGAAUUUUUUUCUCAGUUACUUGGCAGUGAAUUUAUAAACUCAUAAGCUCAUAAACUCAUUAAGCUGAAUAGCUUAAUUAGCAAAAACAGACAAUGUUUAUUAGAUUCUGAGGUGGGCUCAAGAGAUUUCAGAACUGAUCAAUGGAAAAGAUAUGGAACGGGUUUUGUGUGGACAGCAUCUUAACAGUUUGUUGUAAUAGAAUUCCUUCACACAUGGCAUUAUCGAUGGCUACAGUUCUUGAUGGAAUGAGUAAGGAUGGGGUGAUACCCAAGAAGGAAGGAAAGCACAGCAUACAAAGUGGAGAGGGUCAUAGAAGGAUGCUACAUAUCAUAUGAUGUCCUGCAGCACCACAGCCAGCAGUUAAACCAGAUAGAUGCAAAAGAUAGCAACACUGAAGGGCCCUUAUAGCUGUAGCAUUUAUUUCAUCAAUAGCUAGCAUCUACUGGGUACAUUUUUUUCCUGGAAGAAAAAAUUGCAAAACCUGUAAAUGGCCAAAAAUAUUUUUAUUGAGGCAGUGUUACAAACAAUUGGAUAUGUAAACUUUUCAUAUCAGCAUGAGUAGGCUCUUGAGCUCACAAGUUGUAGGCUUGUGGAAAGAAAGAACUUAGGACUGGAGAUGCAGAAAAAAUGGUAAAAUGUACUUGUCUAAUCUGCACUGAGUCCUAGAUCUGACUCCCACCACCACACAGCUCAUUGUAGGCCAGUGGUUUUCAACAUUCCUAAUGAAGCCACCCUUUAAUACAAGUCCUCAUGUGGUGAUUACCCCCAAUGACAAAAUUGUUUCCAUUGCUACUUCAUAACUGUAAUUUUGCUACUGUUUUGAGUCAUAAUGUAAGUAUAUGUUUUCCAAUGGUCUUGGGUGAACCCUGUGAAAGGGUUGAGGGGGGUACAACCCACAGGUUGUAAGCUGCUGUUCUAUGCCUAGGACAGCCACAGUUAUAUGAUACCCUGUUUUGGGAGGGGAGAAGAAAGGAAAGAGUAAGAGGGGGAAAUAAAAGAAAGGAGAAAAGGAAAUAACUUGGGAUGGGGAUAGUCAUCUUUGGUUUAUUUGUGUAACAAUUCACACGACAGUAAUACAAUUCACUGGCCAGUGGCCAGUGGGCUAUCUCAACAAGGAAGGCAUUGUUGGGCAAGUCUGGCUACCUGACUUCAAUCCCUGGAACCCACACAAAAAUAGGAGAGAACUCACCCCUCAAAGUGUCCUCUGACUUCACAUAUUCCUCUCCAGACCCUGCAUAUUAAUAAUAAAUGAAAAUUAGAAAUAAAAAAUUCAUUGGUCAAAGAGCGACUAUUUACCUCUUAGAUUCUCUAGGCCCAGAUAAAACCUCAACUCUCUGUUCUUUGGCAGGUAACUUCUAAAAGUCAAAGAAUUGUUUGUUUAAGAUGAUGAGAAUGUCAGAAGUCUUUGAGAUUAGCUGGAUGCCAGGGAAUGGGACAGUGUUUGCUGUUCUGGGCACUUCCAGGAGGAAGUGGGGUUAUCUGUUGUUAAAAAUGGCCCAGACUUUGCAUUUACAUGUUUGAAUCUUCACCUGCUGCUGGUUGAAAAUGGCUGGUCUGGUGAAAAAUAUGAUUCCUAAAAGAAAUACAUGGUUUCACUUCAGGCAUCAAUGAGGGAACACCAGUUAGAAUUGUGAAUCUGUAUGCCAAAGGUGUUCAAGGGAGAAUGUCAACAAGGAAGUCUCAUAAAGGGGCCAGAGGAAUUUGGGACUUGCUAGUGAUAUCUAUUCUAAGCUAUACUUUGGGAUAUGUGGAUGCCACAGAACGAUAGCAACUUUCUCUUUAAACUUUGACAUGUUACUAAAAUUUAGAUUAAAACCAUAAUCCCGCUGUGCUACAUUCCGGUGGAUGGCAUAAAGAAUAUUUACUUCACUGCAUAGUCAUUUAGGAGCUCAGGUUAAAAGAGAAGCCCACCAUCCUGAAAUGGUGCCAUCCAAACUAUUAUAGACACUGGAGCAAGGAAAUAAAAUCUGAAUGGUGACACAUCCUUACAGUGAUCAGAAUUCAGAGCUUUAGAAGAACUACAAAAUGUGGGCGGGGAAGAAUAGGAUACACAAUAGUGGAGGAGUACUAUGUGGUAAUUCUACAGCUACAUUGGGAGGGGGUUAAAAUUUUAUUUUAGUGUGUGUGUGUGUGUGUGUGUGUGUGUGUGUGUGUGUGUGUGUGUGUGUGUGUCUGUGUGUCUGUGUCUGUGUGCCUGUGUGUGCAAGCUGUGGAAGACAGAGGACAAUUUUGGGAGGCUUGGUUUUCUCCUUCUCUGUGAGCUCAUGGGUGGAACUCAGGUCCUGAGGCUUGACAGCAAGAACCUUUACCUGCCCAGCCUCCUUUCUGUCCCAAGUUGCUUUUAGAGAUGUGGGUAUUUAGUUUGUUUUGAUUUCUUUUAAAGUCAGGCCUCAGGAGUCUUUGUUAACCUAAUUAUCACUGUGUAGAUAAGGCUGGCACUGAACCUACAGCCUUUGUUAACUGAUUCUCACUUUGUAGAUAAAAGCUGGCCGAGAGCCUGCUUCAGCCAGCUAAGUGCUGGGAUUAAAGAUGCAAAAGUAUGACCUUCAAGUUCUUGGGGGUUAACAUGUUUAUAUUAGUUUCUUAUAGGCCACUUAAUGCAUGACCACAGAAUAAUUGCAGGUCUAAAAUCCAAGAUGGGAAUCCAAAGGCUACUGUCGGUAUUCUGGUAACCAUGAUUGUGGCUCCCUCUGUCUUCAGCACAAGAGUGUUUAAUAGAGUCAUUCUCUUACAUCGUUCAACCUUUGUCUCUUCUGCUUCCCUCUAUUACACAGAACUCUUGAGAUUGUAUCCAAAAUUGAUAACCCGACUAUUCUUGCUAGCUUAAGGAUCAAGUAAUUAGAUUCCUAAUUUCAUCUCUUAUCUUAAUUCUCCUUUGCCAUAUAAUAUAACAUACUCACAGGUUCCAGAAAUCCAGACAGGAAUCCUAAUUUUCCUGCCUGCCUCAGUAAAACAUUUAUGUGUCUAUAUACUUGCUAAUAAUAUUUAUUAUGUUGUGCAAUGACUUUGCUAUAAAAUUCCAUAUUUUAAAUAUUGCAAGAAUCACAAGCUUCUUGUUAGUUCAUGAGAUGAUACUUGUAAUACAGUGCAUUUCCCUUUUUGUUUUAGAGAUAAGGAAGGAGAAAAAUUAUCUCAGCAAUAUAUUACCAGAGGCAUUUUUAGUGUUAGUUUCUAUAAUAAUAUAUGCUGGGUUUUAUUAUGUUUUCCUGUAAUUGUUUUUGUUGGGAAAUUUUUUCCUUGCUACUACUAAUGCAUUUAGAAGUAAAAAGCUAUUAGGGAAAAUGGUUACAGAAAAUAGAAUAAUUUUGUUAUGGUUGGACCAAAUAAAAUGAUACUGUUGAUUAAACUUGGCAGAAAAAAUACUGAAAAGUAUUCAGUAUGAUUUUUUUUAACUUUUACAGGUUACCAUGUAGAAAACAUGACUUAUAUGUACUUGGCAAAAAGAAUAGACAAAGGGAUAAAAUACUCAACCUCCUCAGGAUCAUAAUAUUUUUCAGACAUGAAGACAGAACUUGCUACACUUGGUAGAACUGAAGAAGUAUGUCAUAAGUAAGAGCUGUGUGUUGAAACAGGACAAGAGGAAGAAAGAUGUGGUGAGGCAAUAGUGUCGAAUACAUUAAUAAAAAUAAACACAAGGUGAUUUUAUCAAAAGGAUUUAUUCUUUUGAAAAUUUUUUCUUAAGAGAUUGAAUUUAUGUGGCUAAUAUACUCUUUCGACACAGAAAAGGUAAGCCCUGAUAUGACCUUUAAUUGUUCAGUGAUUUAUUAGCAAAAAACUUUCCUUCUCCUCACCACAAAAAUAAACAAGUUUUUUUUUCUUUUCAAUAAAAUUCACAUAACCUCACGACCCUUUUAUGUGACCAUGUUUCAGAAAAAAAAAUAUAAUUAUGGUAAACACUGCUGGUUGCUUACCCCUUCUCAUUUGAGUUUAUGAAUCAGUAACUUUUAGCUUUCCAUAAUAGCUCACAAUAUCAGUAUGCACAAUAGAAUAUUACCUGUCCAGUAUUGUUUGAUUACGAAUGCCCUAAGAGGAUGGGAGGGUGAUCUGCUUGUGACGUCAGUCAUCCCAUUGAUUAUCAGCUGUAGGUCUGGCUGGCUAGAGAGUUGUCCCUUUGCUCCCUCUCAGCUCCAAGUGCAUCCACCCCCAAAGCUGGGAGGCUGGGGAAGAUGAUAGCAGUCCCCAAAUAGAGAAGGACAAUGUAAUGUCUAUUCCUGGUUGUCAACUUGAUUAUAUCUGGAAUGAACUACAAUCCAGAAUUGGAGGGCUCACUGAGAUCCAGAUCUUGAGGCUGGAAGACACAUGUUUCUGACCUGAAUCUUGGCGUGAAGAUCUUGAGGCAUAAUGGCCAUGAAAAGCUUAGGCCCAGGCAAAGUAGGCCUAAAAUGGGCCUUUCGCAUUUAAUCCCAGGAGACUGAGGCUAGGAGAUCUGAGUUCAAGGUCAGCCCGGGGCAAAGCAAGUCUCAGAUCCAGCCCUGGUGGCACACACCUUUAAUCUGGGCCACACCCUCUGCUGGAGACCUACCGUAAUGACAUUGGAAGAAGGAAAAUUCUUUGACAGCUUGCAUUUAGUUGCCAGCACAUUCGUAAGAACCUACUUACAGAAGACCAGCUGAAGUAACUACCCUCAUGGGACUGAGCAACUACUGGAUUCUUGGACUUCCCAUGCACAGCUGACCACUGUUGGGUUAAUUGGAUGGCAGACUGUAAGUCAUCACAACAAAUUCCCUGGAUACAUAGAGACAGUCCAUGAGUUCUGUGACUCUAGAGAACACUGACUAAUACAGACAGUAAGGACAGUCAGUCAAGGACAUACAAGGAGCUGUAUCCCCUGCUAGAACCUUCAUACAAGUUCUGAAGUAAUGUUCAAGGAACAGCUCUCUACACUGUCACUUAGUGGGGAAUUUGACAUGUGGCCUUUUAUGUUUGCCACUUCUCCCCCUCCCCUUCCCCCCAGUCCAAUCCUAUUUUCCUGUCAAGUAUGAAGAUGGCAGGCAUCUGGUGUCUACUUUGUGGCUAGGACAAACUGGUCACAAUAUUGAAGAUGGUAGACGAGAAGGAUGGAAUGAAUCCAUACCCUUGUAUCAAGCCAAACCCAUCCAUGCAAUACUUCCUGCUUGUGAGGGACAAAGAACCCUCACCUUUCGGUUUUCAGUGCUUCAGUUGCAGUACUCGUUCUCUGAUCUUCUCAUUUGACAAUGAUGUGUAGCCUAAGCCUCUUUAGCAGAAAAUGGGCAUCUGGUUAUGAUCUCUCUUGGAUCAAAUGUUUUCAGGCACCUCACACAAUAACCUAUUUGGAUUUACUGAUCAGUCAAACGUAAAUGGCCACCAUUUACAAAUGUUUAUGUGGAGAUUGACACUAAGCUGAGUUUACCUCUUCAGAGGUAUUGGAAUAAGUUAGUGACUAAUUUAAAAAUUCUUGAAUUGGCCAUCAAAUUUUCAUUUUGCUUUUGUCUUACUGCAGCUCUUGUUUAAAUUACUUGGAAUAAUUGCUUUUCUGCACUAAAGAAUUUCAAACUUUGCAGUGACCUCUCAUGAGGAAUCUUCUUAUAGUAUCAUAGUUCUCAGGGUAUCAUGGGUGUGUGACGGAAGACUGGUGGGGAUGGUAUGGAACUACUGAGUCUCCUAUUUUCACCCAGUUAGUGCUUGUCUUGGUUACUGCUUGUUAUUUCAUGUUUGCGCUCUUAAGAUUUAACAAUAUGUUAACCUCUUUUAUGUUCAUUGGCAUCGUCUUCUGUUAACCCAGAUAUACGUACUGUUCAUUUAAUUUCCCCUGAUAGUUAUACUGCUUUGCAACUUCAGGAAUGUACUUAGUUCUCUCUCUCUCUCUCUCUCUCUCUCUCUCUCUCUCUCUCUCUCUCUCUCUCAAAUAUGUAGUUUCUGUCUUUCACUGAUAGUUAUUUUGCCCUACUUCAGUUCCUUAUUUAUGAUUCUUUUUCUAUUUUAUUUGCUAAAUAUCAUAUUAAACUACCUCAUAAAGUUUCAAGGAGCUGCUUGUGUGUUGACCACAUCUCCAGUAUUUUUCUACUAUGAUUUAGAUUUAAUAUGCGAUUUUCCAUCAGGGGAAAAUGAUGUUGAGAGCUACUGUCCUCACUGUUGGUGAAGGAAAGGGAUAUGGAGUUUUUAAAAGAUGUCCUGACCUUGACAUAAGUAGAUCUUUGAAAGUACUCCCUUAGAAGGAGUACUUCAUGGAUAGAUUUGUAAAUGAUUUCACAUUAUAUUUGAAGUUCAGUAAAUUCAUGUCUAUGCUAUAUUUCACUUUUUUAUUGAUGAGGCCUCAUGUUAAGACUAGAGUGGUUGUUUAGUAGAACUCUAAUGACCUCUAUAUAUUACUACAAUCUUCCAGAUAACCAGGGAAAAGCAGAGUAUUAAGAAGGUCCCAACUUUACCUCCUUAGUGCUUAUUUUGAUUUUCUCUCGUCUUAUGGGCUCUAUCAUUAUCUGUAAUAGACCAGCAGGCCACUCUUCAGUAGCAGGGUCCUGAGAGAGAAGACCAUGAGAUCAGAGAAGAUAUCAGAUUAUAGAAAACGGAAGGUAGGAAAGUUUAUGAGAACAGGAAGCCGUACACAAGUUCUGUCUUAUGCCAAGCAUGUUCCUGUGUUCAGAGGAGCUGUGUUCCUUUCCUAUAUAUCAGUUCAUUCCCAAGUCUCUGGCUUAACGGUAUUUCAGGUUCUGUCAAGCAUGUUUUUGAGAAUGAACUAGGUUUUUCUCCAUAUAACUGGACCUCAGUGAGCACCUCAUUUGAACAGUCUAGCCCUCAAAAAUCAUCUAGAUUUCUCUUCAUUUUCUGGAGGAGUAAGCCAUUUGUUGAUGCCCCAACCAUUAUCACAGUUUAUUGGGCUAUAAUGCUCACUGCUAGGGAGAAGUGCAUAUGGGCAUAGAGAGUUCCAUGUUUUGUUUUGUUUUAUUUUGUUUUGUUUUCCAAUAAGUUUUUACCUAUACUGCCAAAGCUCUCCUGAGAUUCUCAGUUUUCUUAGCUAGGGUGAUCCAUGGUGAUCUGGGAAGGAACAUGUCCCCAAGCCUUGGAUAGUUUUCCAUGAUAGAUUUCCAUGAACUUCUACCAUGCUUGGUCAGAUUCAGAUUUUCUUUCAUGCAUUGAGCUUCUCACUUUUUGUCACAUCUUAGAAUAAACAGCCCUUGUGAACAGGUUUACCUGGCUUUUGUGCUAUAUCUCAGCUCCCCAUUUCAUAAAUCUCCCAAAUUAAUUUUUAUGCAAAUCAUAAUCCUAAGUUAGUAGCUUAUAAUUAGUAGAAAUUCUAUGACAUAGUUCUCAGUGUAUAUUCAUAUUAAUAUACUCUUUUAAAAUAUAUGCAUGGGAAACAGACCUCUAUGUUAUAGGCUAUUAUAAUUUAUUUUGAGAAAGAAAUAGAAUACAAUUUAUACCAAAGAAAAUUAUGCAUUUAUUUGGAAAUUGUUAUUAUAGUGUAUAAAAUAGUCUAAAUUUGCUUUAGACUAUAAGAACAGCCAUUUUUAAUUCUUAUUUGUUACCAAUUUUACUUUAUAAAAGAUUGUUUGUAUAAGAUAUAAUGCUGAUUUUUACAUAUGUGUAAACAUCUGGAUAUUAUAUUGGUUGCUAUUAGUUUUAAGUCAAAAAAUAUUCAUCACAGUGUGUGAAAAUUUGCAGUAACGAAGUUUUAAAAUAUACUGUAGUCAUAAUAAGUCUUUGGGAUGAACUUAUUUUUAUAUUAUUGCUUUGAAGGAACCUGUGGAAAGAAUAUCUUGUAUGUUGUAUGGGUGUAUCAGCUAGCAAUUAAAAAACCUACAGCCUGUGACAUAGAAGGAAGUAGGAGAGGGGAGAUCAGGGAGGAGAACAAAUUCUUGGAUAGAGCCAGGCAGGAGACUUGCCCUGGAGGAUGUGGAGAGGGACACAUGGUAUCUGGGUACAGGAAACAGCCACGUGGCAGAAUGUAGGACACAAUGGUAUCUAACCAAGGUAUUUGUAGAUAUAUUUUGAGUCCGAGUCUUGUUUCUGAGAACAUAGGGCUGGGAAACAGAACUGGUCCUAACUUCAGCAGGAACCACCUGAAUGAAUUAGAACAAUCUUUAAGACAUGAUAUAACAAAGAUAUUAGUAUGUUCAAGAAUUGGCAGAAUGACAAUUGAAAAAAUUAGGAAGAGAUGAACAGAACUAGCGUUCAUCACACCAAUGUUUGAUUAGCUACUUAUCUCAUUGAUACUACCAAUAUCUAACAAGAAGCAACUUGAGGGAGGAGAAGUUUCUUGGGACUUGCAGUUCACGUGAUGUUCAUAGUUGCAAGGAAAGCAUAGUGACACAGUGGCAGGAGUUGGUCACAUCGUACCCACAGCCAGGAGGCAGAAGAAACAAGAAGUAGGGACAGACUAUAAAACCCACAGCACCCUUAUCCCUGGAUGAUUUUCUCCUGCAAAGAUGCUGCAUCUUCUCAAGAUUUCUCAGCCUGCCAAGACAGACUGGCUGGGACCCAAGUUUUCAAACUCAGGAGCCUAAAAUGGGCCUUUCGCAUUUAAAUAACAGUAGUGGGUCUGUUGCUGUUGUUCUCUGAGUGGGUUUGACGUCAAUUCAUUUGUUUAUGACAAACAGAAUUCUUCAUAUUGAUUAAGUAAACUUUCUGAAAUGGUUAUGACCUUGCUAUAUCAAAUCUCACCAAGUAACCAGUAAAUCAGGGGCUAGGGAGAUGGCUCAGUGUGUAAAGUGUAUACUGAACAGGUAUGAGGGCGUGGAUAUGAAUCUUCAACUCACAAAUAAGAAGCCGGACACGGGGCUGGGGAUUUAGCUCAGUGGUAGAGCGCUUACCUAGGAAGCGCAAGGCCCUGGGUUCGGUCCCCAGCUCCGAAAAAAAGAACCAAAAAAAAAAAAAAAAAAAAAAAAGAAGCCGGACACAACCACAUACACCUACAAAAUCAGCACUAACAGUGGGUGAUUAGAGAGACUCCAAAGCUGCGGGCCCAGCUUACGUUGCCAAAUCACUGGGAUCCGAGUUUACUGAGAAAAUCUACCUCAGUAAAUAAGAUAGAGAACAAGGGAUGGAGACACUUGACAUUGAUAUCCUGCCUCUGAAUCUACACAUAAAGACAGAUGCAAUACCCCUCUCCCCAACCUACAUACGAUAAACAGUGUUAUACAAGUAAACUAUAAAAUUAUCCCAGAUUAGGGAUUGAGACAUAUAUUAUUCAACUGCUUAUUAAGUUUGUAAGCAAUACUACAACAAAGUCGAAUUCAUUUCACAAGAAGAUUAUUCUAGAAGCAGCUGUACGGAAACAGUGAUGGACUAAUAGUAACUAAUGAAGCAUUCCCCAGCAAUGACAGUCUAAGAGGAAACUGCCAAACCAGAGGUUCUAGAGUGAGGAGGGGAGGACAUAUUAUAAUAUGUCAAGUGUAAUUUAUAAUGGAGUUACUUAUAAUGGGAGAGAGAUAUGUCUUAGGUCCAGCCCCGUACAACACAUUGGUUCCCUGUUGCCACCAUGUGCUUUCACACUGGUACAGGCAGUGUGGCAGCAUGUGCAUCAACCUUGAGCUACAGUAGGUAAACCUGAGCAGUGGAAUUGGCCAGGUGCAACUCUGGUGCGCUUGUGCGAUGGGGAAAGCAACACCCACAGAUGACCCUUCCAGCUAUUUUCUUUUCUGCUGACUUACCUUUUCUAAACGUCUGAAAUUCUCAAAAUUCUAUCAUUUAGAGUCAAAAUCUGUCCCUUCUCUUUGUCCUGAUUCUUUGUUCUCAUUUUUACUUUUUUUGACUUAAUUUCUUGGAAUGUUUCCAUGACUAAAAUCAAACCAACCAACAAAUAAAACUCAAAAAUUUACAACCAUUCAUUUGAUGUCUAGUAAGUUCUUCAAAGAUAAUAUAACCAAACUACACUUUUUUUUUUUUUUGAGACAGUUCCACUUUGCAGACCAAACAAUAUUCUGGUACUUUCUCUAUAAAAUAGAAUAGCCUCGAACUCCUAGCAAUGGUCUGGGCUCUGCCAACCCCAGGGAUUUGGGUGACAGACAUAUCUCAAAACUACAGAGGAGCAUCACUUUAUUUUUAUUUUUAUUUAUCUAUUUAUUUUUAAAGAAUUAUCUUUUAAGUACACUGUAGCUGCCUUCAGACACACCAGGAGAGGGCAUCAGAUCUCCCUACAGAUGGUUGUGAGCCACCCUGUGGUUGCUGGGAUUUGAACUCUGGGCCUCUAGAAGAGCAGUUGUGCUCUUAACCACUGAGCCAUCUCUCCAGCCCAGAGGAACCCUUUCAAUGUUUCCCCAAGUGCUGUGAUGAAAGUCAUGCCCAGCUCAAGGCUAAGAUUGCUGACAUUAAUUUAUUGUUUAUUUCUCUUAUUCCUUUCCACCAGUCUAUAAUUCUGUCACCUCUGCCACUAGAGUUAAUGAGGCUGGGAUCUGAACACUGACCUCACUGCACGGCUGUUGUUCAGUCAUCUUUUUGGGUACCAGUCUAAAAUCUCUAAAAGCUCCCGCCUGACCUCCCUGUCCAUGCUUUAUUUUGUUCUGUUACAGCACAGGGUCUAAAGGACUACGCGGCUGUGGGACACACAGUAACACUAAGCAGGCUGGGGCAGGAUGGUCUGAUUUCCUUCCGUGUUUCAGUUUGAAAGUUUUACACAUGUAUAUAAUUCAUGGAGCCAUUUUCAUUGCCUAUGCUCAGCACCCCAUGCUCAUCCCCAUAUCUCUCCUACUGGAGCCCCUCCCUCUUUCCAGCAUCUCUCUUCCUUUCACAGAUUCCUGAUUGUGGCCCUCUGAGUUAAAUUAGGAAAAAUUGCCUGACUUUGGUAGGGAAGUGACUUGAGAGGCUAUGUCAUUGAAGAAAGUGAUACUCCUCCCUCAACAGCAUGAAUUGCCAAAGUCCCCGAGGGAAGACAAGGGCCUCUUGGGUUCUUCUUUCAGGUGUGAUUGCACAUUGAUAGGCCCAGUUUCAUGCAGGUUUUGUGCAGACAGCCAUGGCUACAGUGAGUUUACUAGUGGAGUCCUCCUGUCACGUCCAGAGUGUACCUCUUACUGUGCUUCUCAUCCAUCCUCACCUCUUACAUUCCUACACCACUUCUUCCAGGAUGUUCCUUGAGCCUUGGAGGGGUUGUUAAAGCUGUCUCUGUUGGGGCUGAGAACGCCAGCCAUCAAGUUUUCAUGGCUCUUCGACUAGUUGCAUUGAAACCAACCCAGAUUAUAUAGUGAAUCCCAGGCCUACGUUGGUCACAUAGUUAAUUCUGGGUCAGCCUAAACUCCAUAGUCAGGCCCAACCACAAAAUUAGCAAGUGGCUUAAUUAAUUUUAAAAACCGAGGAGGGGAAAAAAAAAAAACCCUAUCAGUCAGCAUCUAUGCCUUUAAUCUCAGCUCUUGGAAAGUAGAGGCAGGCAGAUCCAAGUGAGUUUGAAGACAGCCUGAUCAACAGAGAAAGUUUCAAGUGAGCCAAGGUUACACAGUGAGACCCUGUCUUGAAAUCUAAAACAGCCAAAAUACAACAGAAUAAAUUGCCCAACACAAGGCUAAUCGUGACCAUCCUAUCUGUGGCCUUUCAUUAAGGUAAAGACUCAAGUCUGGAGAAGUGCUUAACUCUCCAGUACUCACCAUCUCUAGGAUUCAUCCCACAGAACUCAGGAGCCCAAAAGUCUGAGUGGAUGGAGUGCUGAGGUUCAAGAGCCCUUGUGUCCAUCAGGGCUCUCUUGAUACAGGUCAUUUGAACUUGUCCCUCUUAGAGAGCACUACACGGCACUUCCUUAGAAACUGAGGGACCUUCCACCUACAGUAACAGCACUGACCCUGGUUUCACCUCAUUCAUUUAAAUGGCUGUCAUUUUAAUUCAAGGUGCCAAUCAUCAUUAAUUGACAUGUUAACAUUUACUUAUCACUUGUCCCUACAGACACAUGCCAUGUGUGACAGAAUUAGACAGAAGCAAAAGACAAUGUAGACAUGUAUAAACUAGCCUGGGGCUAGAAAAUUUGUCUGUUUUAGUUGCUACUCUUUCCUUGAUGCCUAGAACAGUGCCUUCCAUAAAACAAACACAGAAACAACAAACCAAAACAAGCUUCUUAGGCACUGAUGAGCAAAGGACCAUCUGGGUAAGAGAAUGAAAGGGAAAUAAAGGGUCAGGUAAGCUGUUUGUUUCUUCCACUCAAAUGAUUCGAUUUAUUAAGAUUUCUCCUGUUCUUUUCAUUUCAAAUUCAAACAAAAUCAUAUCCACAUAUGAUCUUCUGGACUCAUCCAAAGGGCUUGUAUCACAUCUUCAGCUCUGCCCUCUGUAGAACUCUAGGCUCUGGUUGACUCUACUCCCCUACUGCUACUGUUCUUGGUGAUCAUCCUAUGGUAAUGCUCUCUCAAAUAUACUGGGGUCUUUGGCUACAACUAGGUUUCACUAAUAGCCUCUCAUAGAUUCUCUUCGUGGUACCAAGCCUCAACUUCUUUGCAUGACCCCGUCAGUCCUAAGACAUCAACUGCAAGUGAGGCUGCACCUUCACCAAUGUCCUUCCCUGGCCUCUCACAGUGCCAGGUCUCAACUGCUCUCCAUGACCACUUCAAAAUCCAUGACCUCCUGGCUGAUUGUUAAACAUUACCAAGUCCAGCUGCAGCACAAGGUUCAACCUUGCUAUUCUACAACACAGUUUCUUUGUGCUCUCAAAGAACAAUUUCCAGAAGAUUUUACCUUAGUGAUGUUGGUCUCUUCUUAAUCACUGCUCAUUUCUUAGCUCCAUCUAGCCAACAUCAACUGUCCCAGUAGUCCAUUCUAUUUUUAACUCUAAAGCCAGAGCCACAUGACUGAAACUGCUGAAUUCUGCUGCUUGCUUGAGCUGAAACAUGGCCCCUUUGUUCUAUUACAUCAUCACCAGCUUUCUCUUUUCCACCUUCUUCACUGCCUAAGUGUGACUGUCCUGGAAUUUGCUCUUUACAUUGACCUUUAAUUCCAAACACUGGGAUUAAACAUGUGGUCCACCAAGCCUGGACGUAAACUUUUCUCUUAGAAUUUUCUCUGUACCAGGCUGGCCUUGAUCUCAGAGAUCUGCUUGCUUUUGUCGCCUGGAAUUGAAGGAGUGUACCACAUUGAUGGGGCCUAAUCAUUUCAUGGGCACUAUGCCUCAAGAUCCAGAACAAAAGCCUGCAUGCAUCAUUUCUAGAUUGUAGUUCGUUUCAGAUGAAAAGUCCAAGUAAAAUCAAUAACCACACAAUAAUAACACCUAAUAUAAUAUAACUGUUGUUCAAUUAUUCAUGCAUAAACAAUAAGCUUAGCUGGGAGGGAUGUUGUGACAAAGUCACGACUCCCCUAAUCUGUUCACUUCCUUGAAUACAGGAUUCAGCUCCAGUUCACUUCCUGGUGCCCCUUGUUUACUAGAACCAUACAUUUUAUAUUUUUCUUUUCUAAUCUUGCUAUGCUUAUUCAAAACGCUCUUCAUGAGGCUUAACCAGGGAACAAAGUCUCUGCUGGGCUUUUUUGAGACUUCCUUUGUCAAUGCGAUUAAUAUAAAUCUUUUCACCAUAGAGUCAGAUUCUUUGGACAAGGGCAAAGAGCAGCCACAUUCUUCACCAAAAUAUCACAAGAAUAGUAUCUUGGCCACAUAUUAACGUUCUUCUUUUCUGAAGCCUCUAGAGCCAGACUUCCACAGUUCUAAUCACCCUCAGCAACUAACUCCUCCAUAUUUCUACUAGGAUGAUCCGUUAAGCUCCUUAAAGCAUUCCAUGGCUUUCCAAACCCAGAGUCCCUAAAUCCCUAGUCUUCUAUACAAAAGCAUGCUCAGGCCUAUUACAUCAAUACCCCAGUCCCUGGUACCAACUUCUGUCUUAGUUAGGGUUUUACUGUUAUGAACACACACCUUGAAUUAUAAGGCAAUUCUUAUAAGGACUACAUUUAAUUGGGACUGGCUUAAAGGUUCAGAGGCUCCAAUAUUAUAAUAAUGAGCAGUCCAUUAUUAUCAAGGGGAGAACAUGAUAGCAUCUAGUCAGGAGUGGUGCAGGAGGAGGAGCUGAGAGUUCUACAUUGUCAUCUGAAGGCUACUAGAAAACUGGCUUAUGGGCACAUAGGAAGAGGGUCUUAAAGGCCAUACCUACAGUGACACACUUUCUCCAACAAGGCCAUACCUACUCCAACAAGUCUAUACCUCCAAAUAGUACCACUCCCUUGGUCAACCAUGAACAAACCAUCACAGAUCCUGUGGGUUUUUGUGUGUGUGUGUGUGUGUGUGUGUGUGUGUGUGUGUGUGUGUGUGUGUGUGUGUAUGCGUGCUUUUUGGGUUUUUUUUUUUUUUUUGUUUUAUGCUAUGUUAUAGAGAUUAAAGUCUUUCUAGUCCUUCUUAGAUUUUGAUUUUUAUGAGAAGUUUUCUUAAUCUAUUUCCUGCUUCAUAUCUAGCCUAUCUGGCUUCUAUUUGUAUUGUAUUUCUACAGAAAACCAACUAUAUCUGAGAAAUCAUUUGACUUCUACAUAUUUUUGCAGACGAGGUAAUUCCAAAUGAGAAAAUUUCUAUUUAUAAAUGAAUUAAAAAUACACUUACAUUUUAAAUCAUAAUAUAUCAGGUGAUGUUUCAUUUUUCUUUUCAAAUAGACAUUUCCCUAUUUUUAGAUGUGUGCACAUGUAACUUUGUAGGUGUGUGCUUGUCAUGGCAUACAGGUCAGAAACCAAAAGAAUUUGGCUGGACUUUGUAUUAAAUAAGAAAACAGAUUAAUAUGUGAUUAUGAAAAUAUCAAAUAUCACAUGUCAGUGGAUAGGACAUACUGAUAUCACCAAAACAAUGGCCAUUAGUUUCUAAUUAUAUGCCAAAGGCAUGAUAUUAUUUUGCAAAGAUAAGAAUAAUUGUACCUGGCACACUUUGAAUCAUAACACACUAGAAAACAAACAUAUGGAGGUGUGUGAUUUAUGGAAGUUGUUCACUAAUCUGAAUGAUUGAACAGUGCACUUCAUUGAAGGGUUGUUAAGUACUGGUUAAUCUGAGGAUUAGGAAAAUCUGUCCACUUUAAAAUGACAAAUAAAUACAAAGUCUCCUGAGGAGAGUGAUUAUUUGACAAUAUGGUAUUAUUUCACACUUUACAGACUACAUGUUACAUAAAUGUAAUUUUAUAUGAUCCCCAAACCCAAAAAAAAUCCAAUAUAUUAUAAUAGUCUCCUUAUCCUGGUGCUCUACAACCAAACCCAUACAAUCUUCAAAUAUGGUAUAAUGUAAUUCCAAUCACAUCUAAUUACUAAGUAAAUAUUGCUUCUGAGUAAAGAGUAAUAGCUUUAGAUUAAUAUUUCAGAAAGACUUCUCCAAGUUGACUCAUUGUCGUGAUGAGAGAGAAACUCUUCCUACCAUUCCACCUCAGUGUCAAUUUCGUUUUAACUAGGAGAGAUGCCCUUUUUGUGUGUUUGAGACAGUAUGUGUCUAUGGUGGAGAGGGAAGUAUUGCUCUAUAGUGUGUGGUCUCCUGGUGGUGCUAUCAAAAUUCACUGUGCUAUCACUGUAGAGUGAUAGCAUACCAUAUUUAUUCCUAAGAGAGCAGCAAUAUAUUUUCUUUAAUAAGUACAGUCUAUUAGAAACAAAAAUCUACCAAAAUAGGGAGAGGAAAGGAAAAUUUUUAAAUGGCCUUGCUAGUAAGAUUUGAAGACUGAUAAUCGAAUAGUACACAAUGUUAGUACUUGUGGGGGAGAGCAUUAAAACCUGUUAUCAUAUAAAAUUAUAAUCACAAUCUUCCAGCAAAUACUUUAUAAGGCUAUGUGGUAAUUUGAAGAUGCUGGUCCCAAAGGGAGUGGUUCUGUUAAGGGUGGGUGGUCUUGUUGGAGGAAGUGUGUCACUGUUGGGGAUGGGCUUGGGAGGUCUUGUCUCCUCUGAUACUCAGGCUCCACCCAUUGUGGAUGAGAGCUUGCUCCUAGCUUCCUGAGGAUGCUAGGCUUUUCCUGGUUGCUUUUGGAACAAGAUGUAGAAUUCUCAGCUCCUCCAGUGCCAUGCCUGUCUGGAUGCUGCUGUGUUUCCCCCUGUUAAGGUAAUAGACAGAACCUCUGAAUGUGUGAGCCAGCCCUGAUUAAAUAUUUUCCUUUAUAAGUGUUGCCUUGUUCCAGGACCCAGCAGCGAGGACAUUAGCCGAAAUACCCAGCAAAGGGGAGAUAGAACUUGUAGAAACCAUAUCCAGUGGAUCGGCAUGGCCCCUAGUUGAGGGAUGGAACCACCAAAAAUAUUAAUCCAGAAUUCCUUGUGUCAAAAGGAAAUGCAAGGACAAAGAGUGGAGCAGAGACUGAAGAGAAGGCCAUCUAGAGACUGCCCUACUGAGAGAUCCAUCCCAUCUGCAGACACCAAACUCGGACACUAUUGCUGAUGCCAAGAAGCCCUUGCUGACAGGAGCAUGCUAUAGCUGUCACCUGAGAGGCUCAGCCAGAGCCUGACCAAUACAAAUGCAUAUGCAAACAGCCAAGCAUCAGACUGAGUUCUGGGACCUCAAUGGAGGAGUUAGGGGAAGGACUGAAGGAGCUGAUUUGGUUUGCAAUCCCAUAGGAAGAACAACAACGUCCACCAAUCAGAACCCCCAAAGCUCCCAGGGUCUAAACCAUCAACCAAAAAGUGCACAUGGAGCAACCCAUGGCUCCAACUGGAUGUGUAGCAGAGGAUUUCCUUAUUGGGCAUUACUGGGAGGGGAGCCCCUUGGUCCUAUGGAGGCUCCAUGACCCAGGGUAGGGGAAUACUAGGUCGCUGAGGCAGGAGUGGGCAGGGGAGCACCCUCAUAGAGGCAGAGGGGAAGGGGGAGAGGAUAGAGGGUUUGUGAAGGGGAAACUGGGAAGGGGGAUAGCAUUUGAAAUGUCAAUAUAUAAAAUAACCAAAAAAAAAAAAAAAGAGUUGCCUUGGUCAUGGUUUCUCUUCACCACAAUAGAAAUGCAGCAGCUAAGAUUUUCGUUACAAUGUGAAAACGUGCAUUACAUAUCUUUCCUAAGACUCACAAAUAUUUUAUAUAAAUUUUACAAAAAAUGUCUCCAAGUGUGCAUGCAUCUAUAAUUUAUAAACUUUGUUUUAUCUGGCAUGGCUUUCAAUGUGUACUUAGAAGCAUGUCAGUGAGCUAGAAUUACAAUAGUAAGAAAGGAAUAUUAUUCAAUAAGCAAAUAUGUAUCUGAACCUAAAGCGUGUGUUGUACAUAGGCACCUGUUCGUGAAGAAAAACAAGCUCAACUUCCCUCUUUCCUGGUGCCUAAUGACCAACAAUUUCAACUGUACGCAUUUAAAGUCAUAACCCACUCCUGUCCUCUUCUGCCCUCCCCACGGCUUCUCAGUAAACAAAAUGUCUUAGCUUUAGGUAAGGGACAAAGUUCAAGAGGAACUACUCUUUGACACAGACAUUUGCCUUUGGGAUUAUUUUAUCUCCUAAAUCUCUGGGCUAAGAGAAACAAUACUGUAAAUAAAUAUUGUAAAUCCUCUAACCAUGGCUUAUUUAGACAAAGACAAAUUAAGAAAGUAAUACAGUAAAUGUUUUGAAUAACUUCCUACCAUAUAACUCUACUUCAGUUGAAAAGGAAAAUAAUUUACGGACUCUGUCUUUUGUCAAUUGCAUCACCCUCAAGUUCCUCAGUUCCCAUUUAAUGACUUAUUAAUUUAUUAUUAAUAUUAAUACUGAUUCCAGUUCAUUACCUGAAGUUUCUAUUUAUAAACAUUGUUCAAAAAUUAUUUUGCAUAAAUUGAGACAAAAAUGUGCCAGGUACAAUAUGCUUGUUUUUAUUUACUAUAGAUAUUAACUUCUCAGAAAAUACUGAAUUUUUAUCAACUUUAAUAUAGUAAUGAAAUGUGUUAUAAGCAGUGUAUUUUCCUCUUUAUAAACACUGUGCUCAUCAAAAAGUAAAAGAGCGGGGUUGGGGAUUUAGCUCAGUGGUAGAGCGCUUGCCUAGGAAGCACAAGGCCCUGGGUUCGGUCCCCAGCUCCAAAAAAAAAGAACCAAAAAAAAAAAAAAAAGUAAAAGAGCUUUGUAUUUUGCAAACAAAUGCCCAUGAAUGGCCAACUUUGGAAAAUAUUGAAGCUGAUUUUUUAGUGGAAAUUUACCAGCAUCCAGGCUUCCUUUGAGCCUCCAGAAAGGCUUUGUACAGAAGACUUUCACUCUGUGAAAUUUCUCAUGUGAACUUGUGAACUUGGGCCAAUCCCUUCCUAACACCUCUGCAGGUUUUAUUGUCUUACCACGUUAUUCAUACCUAAUCAGAUUAAUGUCAUUGAGAAUCUUUCCCCUUCGUUAAACAACUACAUUAAGAUGAGAAAAGGAAAAAAAAAAUACCACAAGAAAUUGAGAAUAAAAGUCAAACACAGGAAACAAAUGAUCUUUUGUUCUAAAGUUAGGGCAGUGUUUUAUGAGAAGGUACAUUCCUGAUUAGGUAAAGGUGAAAGUCUUUAUAGAAUUGAAGUCUGUCUGCUUGUAAGUUUCAUAAAAUUUGAAGAACCAUUCUAAUCAAAGUAUAGACAUGUUGCUCAUUUGUUUCCUAGGGCUUUAAACCUUUUGAUGAAUUUAUUACAACUGAAGGAGAUCAUGGGAAAACAAUUUGGAAAGGAAGAAGUUAAAGUAUCUUUAUUUGCAGACAAUAUGGUCAAAUACAUAAGUGAUCCUAAAACUUUGACCAGGAAACUCCUGCAACUGGUGAGUUCUUUCAGUACCUAGAAAUCAGAAGCCAUCUCAUACGCAACGUGACAAAUGGGCCAAGAAAGACAUCAGAGGAUCAACAUCCUACAAUAGCCACAAAUAAUAUCUUGGAUUAUCUCAAACCAAGCACAACCACAAGGCAUGUAUGCUAAAGACCUUGCAACACUGAAAGUAUACACACACACACACUCACACACACACACACACACACACACACACACACACACACACACACACAUUAUUUGUUAUUUUAUUUACAAUUCAAAUGUUACCCCUUUCCUGGUUUCCCAUCUGGAAACCCACAAUUCCACCCCCUAAUCCCCCUGCUACUAUGAGGGUGCUUCCCCACACAUCCACCCACUUCUGCUUCCCUACCCUGGCAUUCCCUAAACUGGGACAUCAAGUCUUCACAGGACCCAGGACCUCUCUUCCCAUUGAUGUCCUACAAGGCCAUCCUCUGCUACAUUUGUGGCUAGAACCAUGGGUCCCUCCAUGUGUACUCUUUGGUUGGUGGCUUAGUCCCUGGGAACUCUGGUGUGUGUGUGUGUGGGGUGUCUGUUUGAUAUUCUUGUUCUUCCUUUGGGGUUGCAAACCCCUUAAGUUCCUUCAGGCCUUUCUCUAUCUACCUGCCUAAGAAUAUCAUGAAGACAUUGUUUUUAAUAGCACAGUAGUACUCCAUUGUAUAAAUGUACCACAUUUUCUGUAUGCAUUCUUCUUUUGAAGGACAUCUGAGUUUUUGACAGUUUCUGGCUAUUAUAAAUAAGGCUGCUAUGAACGUAGUGGAGCAUGUGUAUUUGUUAUAUGUUGGGAUAUACCCAGGAAUGGUAUAGCUGAAUGGCCAGGUAGAACUAUGUCCAAUUUUCUGAGGAACCUCCAGACAGAUUCCCAGAGUGGUUGUACCAGUCUUCAGUCUCAUUAAAAAUGGAGGAAUGUUCCAUUUUCCACAUCCUCACCAGCAUCUGUUGUCCCCUGAGUUUUUGAUCUUAGCCAUUCUGAUUGGUGUGAGGUAGAAUGUCAGGGUUGCUUUGAUUUGCAUUUCCCUGGUGAAUAAGGAGGUUGGACAUUUCUUUAGGUACUUCUCAACCAUUCGAUAUUCCUCAAUCAAGAAUUUUUGUUUAGCUCUGUACCCCAUUUUUUGAAUAGGAUAGUUUGGUUCUCUGGAGUCUAACUUCUUGAGUUCUUUGUAUAUAUUGGGUAUUAGCCCUUUAUCAGAUGUAAGGUUUAUAAAAAUCUUUUUCCAAUCUGUUGGUUGCCAUUUUUUCCUAUUGACAGUAUCCUUUGCCUUACAGAAGCUUUGCAAUUUUACGAGAUACCAAUUCUCAAUUCUUGAUCUUAGAGCAUAAGCCAUUGGUGUUCUGUUCAGGAAAUUUUCUGAAGUGUCACAUGUGUUGGUGGCUCCUCCCUACUUACACUUCUUUCAAUUUGAGUGAGUCUGGUUUUAUGUGGAGGUCCUUGAUCCACUUGAACUUGAACGUUGUACAAGGAGAAACGAAUGGAUCAAUUUUUGCAUUCUUCUACAUGCUGGCCUCCAGUUGAACCAGCACCAUUUGUUGAAAAUGUUGUGUUUUUUUUCCUAAUGGAUGGUUAUGUUGUGGCCUUCAUUUUCAUUAAAUUCUAAAAAAAGUUUUUGAUUUCUUUUUUUUAUAUCUUCCUAAACCAAGUUGUCAUUGAGUACAAUUUUGUUCAGCUCCAUGUGUAUAUGGGCUUUCUCUCAUUUUUGUUGUUAUUGAAGACCAGCCUUAGUCUGUGGUGAUCUGAUAGGAUGCAUGGGAUUAUUUCUAUCUUCUUAUGUCUGCUGAGGCCUGUUCUGUUACCAUUUAUAUCGUCAGUUUUGAAGAAAGUACCAUGAGGUGCUGAGAAGAAGUUACAUUAUUUUAUUUUAGGAUGAAAUAUUCUAGACAUAUAUGUAAAAUCUAUUUGGAUCAUAACUUCUGUCAGUUUUACUGUGUCUCUGUUUAGUAUCUGUUUCCAUGUAGUAGCCUAGGCUGGCAUUUGUGUUCUUUUAAGGUCUGUAUGACAUCUGCCCAGGAUCUUCUGGCUUUUAUACUCUGUUGGGAAUUCUCGUGUAAUUCUGAUGGGUCUCCCUUUAUAUGUUACUUGACCUUUUUCUGUUCCCUGUUUCAAUACAUUUUCUUUUUUCUGUGCAUUUGGUCUUUUCAUUAUGUGGUGGGGGAUUUUUUUUUCUGGUCCAGUCUUUUUAGAGUUCUAUAUGCUUCUUAUAUGUUCAUAUGGAUCUCUUUCUUUAGGUUAGGGAAGUUUUCUCCUAUAAUUUUGUUGACAAUAUUUACUGGCCCUUUAAGUUGGGAGUCUUCACUGUCUUCUAUACCUAUUACCCUUAGGUUUAGUUUUCUCAUUGUGUCCUGGAUUUCCUGGAUGUUGUGGGUUAGGAACUUUUUGCAUUUUCUUUGCCUGCCUCUACUCUAAGGAUAAACAGGCUGAGAUGAAAUUAGGGAAAUGACACCCUUCACAAUAGUCACAAAUAAUAUAAAAUACCUUGGUGUGACUUUAACCAAGCAAGUGAAAGAUCUGUAUAAAAAGAACUUCGAUGUUUUCUAUGGUGUGUUCUCUACGUGAGAUUCUUUUAUCUCUUAUAGUCUGCUGGUGAUGCUUGUAUCUUCCCUAUGUUUUCUAUCUCCACGAUUGCCUAUCUCCCUUUGUGAUUUCUUUAUUGUUUUUAUUUCUGUUUUUAGAUCCUGGAUGGUUUUGUUCAAUUCCUCACCUGUUUGGUUGUACAUCUCUAAGGGAAUUUUGUGUUUCCUCUUUAAGGGCUUCUGCCUGUUUACCUGUGCUCUCCUGUAUUUCUCUAAGAGAGUUAUUUAUGUCCACCUUAAAGUCCUCUAUUAUCAUCAUGAGAUGUGAUCCCAAAUCCAAAUCUUGCUUUUCCGGUGUGUCAGGGUACCCACAACUUGCUGUUCUGGGAGAACUCUGUUCUGAUGAUGCCAAGUAGCAUGCUCUGUGGUUCUGUGCCCUGCGGUCUCUUGGCGGAUCUCCCUUUGGCCAGUCACUGGAGCAAAAGUUUGGUCUUACCUAUAUACUUAGAAUUGACAGCACUCCUGGGAAACCAAUUCUCUCUGGGCAGGAUUUUGGUACGGAGAUCUGUGUUGCUGGGUUAGAUCAGGGGAGUACACACACACACACACACACACACACACACACACACACACAC